Molecule: ribosomal RNA, 253 nt
Filed under: uncultured bacterium
Lineage: Bacteria
Description: partial 16S ribosomal RNA
Rfam family: Bacterial small subunit ribosomal RNA
Source: RNAcentral
UACAGAGGUCCCAAGCGUUGUUCGGAUUCAUUGGGCGUAAAGGGUGCGUAGGCGGCGCGGUAAGUCGGGUGUGAAAUCUCGGGGCUUAACUCCGAAACUGCAUUCGAUACUGCCGUGCUUGAGGACUGGAGAGGAGACUGGAAUUCAUGGUGUAGCAGUGAAAUGCGUAGAGAUCAUGAGGAAGACCAGUGGCGAAGGCGGGUCUCUGGACAGUUCCUGACACUGAGGCACGAAGGCCAGGGGAGCAAACAGG